RNAcentral lists this unclassified non-coding RNA (266 nucleotides) under Hevea brasiliensis (rubber tree). Lineage: Eukaryota; Viridiplantae; Streptophyta; Magnoliopsida; Malpighiales; Euphorbiaceae. The record is from RNAcentral.
UAGUGAUUUUCCUUCAAAUUCUUUCUAUCUUUAUGAUUUAGAUACUUGAAUCAAGUAGGAAAUUGAUGAAUUUAUGCUAAGAAUCAUGAAAAUCAUACACAUGAGGGACCCCUUGAAUUUUGGCCAUCUUUGGGAGAAGGGAAAUUUGAGUGAUUUUGAUGAAAUUAAUUAUGUAAACAUGCUUGAAUGAGUGUAGAAAUGUGAAGUAUGCAAUUUAAUUGUAUGAAUUGGAGUUGUUGAUAAAUUAGGGUUCUUAACCCUUAGGG